Ovis aries (sheep) is the source of this 72-nucleotide transfer RNA. It matches the Rfam family "tRNA". Rfam says of the family: Transfer RNA (tRNA) molecules are approximately 80 nucleotides in length. Lineage: Eukaryota; Metazoa; Chordata; Mammalia; Artiodactyla; Bovidae. The record is from Rfam.
UCCCUGGUGGUUCAGUGGUUAAGACUUGGCGCUCUCACUGCUGGGGCCCGGGUUCAAUCCCUGGUCAGGGAA